UUAACUUCUUCACAUAAAAGCCCUCACCUGAACCCUUUCUUUGUGCGCCGAAAAUCGCCUCCGACGGAGGCGGAGGUCAAACCAGACCCAAACAUAUAUCAAACUAACCACCGUCUCUCCCUCUUUCAUAACCCCAAACUACCUUUCCCGAAUUCCUGACUUAGAGUUCAAAUCGAGUGAAAAAACAUAUGAACCCUAAAGAAAAAAAAUAAAAAAUAAAACCUUGUAGAAAUGGAAUCAAAGCCUAAAGCAUUAGGAAUUUAAUUACUUGAGCCAAAUUCUACAUGAUGGCAACUGUAAUGGCAUGAAAUGGAUGAAGAAGAAGUGUAUCUUACCUACGAGGCGAAGAUGAAGAUGAAACAGGAAAUCUUCAGGUAAUCUUCAAUAUCAUAACUCCUUCACGCUUAAAAUAUUUCUUCUUCUUCUUCAAUUCUUCUUUAGCUUGUAGGUGUGAUUUCGAUGUCGCUCAGUGUUGUUGUUGAAGUUUGAGUGUGAGAGAGAGAUUUACAGAGACAAUGUGAUUCGAUUGAGAGUGAGAGAAGGAGUUUUUUUAUGUGAGAAUGAGGGAAUGAUUUUGAUUUUGUGAUUGUGUAAUGAUUCCAGAUCCUCCUCAAUGAUUGAAGAGGGUGAUGAUUUAUAGAGUUUGGUGUGUAACAACUUAGGGCACACCUUGGGCAAUUAUGUUAGUGAAGUUAGGGUAGGGUUAACUCCUAGUGAAUUUGAGAGGAAAAAUAGUUAGAGGUUAUGACACUGUCACACUUUUGUUAAGACUGUUAAGAUUAAUUGAGUUAGUGGAAUGUAGAGUUAGUACCUUGUUAAAACUGUUAGGUGAAAUGAAGUUAGUUGCUUAACAAAAGUUAGAAACCUGCUAGUUAGUUAUGAGGUUAGUGAGUUGGAUUUGGAGUUAAAUGUUGUGGUUGUUAGAAAUAAAAAGGGAAAAUGUUAGUGUAGUGUGAAAUUAGAGAAUUAUAUUAGUGAAAGUUAUGUUGCUAUGAUUUAUUCGAUGCUAACCUGAUAAAAUCGGUUAGACUAGCUGAAGUUAGUGUUAAGGAAAUGAGAUUAAACUAGUUAAAAUUGAAUUUACAAGCUGAAUUGUUAGCUAUAUUUAGUUGACAGUUAGAUUUCGAAUGAAUUGGAAUAAAAUAGUUAGUGACGGAAGCUAGUUACCUACAAUGAGUGUUGAAUUGUUAUAUUGACACUGGAUGAUUUGAAUGAAUGUGGAUUAUGGUUAGGAUUUGUUAGUUGAGUUUGAAUAAGUUAGGAUUAUUAUGAUGUUUGGAACUUAUUUGUAUAGAAAGAGUAAGUUGGAAAUGGAUUGAAAGGUGAUGUUAUGGUUUCUCGUUAAUGUCCUGUUUGUUUGCUAAAGUUGAAAAUGUGAGUUAAAGUGAGUUGGAAUAGUUAGUAUUAUUAGAGGUUAAUAGAAAGAACUUAGGUUAUUGGUGUUUGUCAUGCUUGAAACAAGUUGGUGCUAUAGUUCAAGUAGUGUGUUCAUCACUAGGCUGUUAGUUUAUGUUAUAGUUAUAGGUUAGUAAUUAAGGUGAUAGUUAGAAGAUUUUGAAUUUCAAUUAGGACGAAAUUGCUAAAACAAGUUAUGAGGUUCAGUAUUAACUAAUGUGUGAUGUUAAGACUUGGAGCUAAAAUUGGAUGAAGUUGGUAUAAACUUGGUUAAAAAUGUUAGUAGAACUAGUUAAGGUUAGUUUCAAAGCAAUGAUGGAACUGUUACUAGGAGGUCGAUUAAUUAUGACUUUUUGUUAUUGGUGUUAUGACCUUGUGAAUGUUGACUUCUAACUAGUUUAUAUGGUUGAAUAUCAAUUAGGUUGGUGUUACUUGUUGUUACUAAAUGAUUGAAUUAUGACAAAAAAACUGUUAGGAUUACAUUAAGGUGGUUAGUGAGUUUUGAGAAAAAUCCACAAGUUUAAAAUUGAACCAAAAUUGAUUUUGAAAAAGUUUAUAGCGCGAAAGCAAGUUUCAAAAUUUUCUUGGAUAAAAAAUCGUCUAACCGAACCUACUAUCGAAAAUCUCGGAUAUGUGUAAAGGUGUCAAUGCAAUGAUAAUAAUCCACAAGUCAAUCAACAACAAUUAAACAUAACUAGUUGAAUACAAUAUAAUAGGAAAAGUUUAUCUCCAAUGAACAAAACACACAACAAAUUAAGUCAAGCAAUUUUUCGAACACUUAGUGUGCGAUCAACAAUGUUUGGAAUUUUAUGUAAAGUUUGUUAUUCUUAGAAAUCCAAUCACAACCAAAUGGUUUAUGAUCUACACAAUAACACAAAUUUCAAAACGCGUUCAAGAUUAUGAUCCAAACAAUAUUGAUCAAAUGAUCAAUGCAAUUGAGAAUUUCCAAACCACAAAAUAAAAGAGAUAUGUAUAGAAAGAGAGUACACAAGGAUUUGUUUAGGCAGUUUCCCAAUCAACAUCGCUAUGGGUACGUCUUCCCUUAAUUCGAAUUCGAAUUGAGAUAUUAUAAUAAAUCUUACUUUGCAAAAUAUGUGUAUACAAGAGAUGAAGAAAUCGAACUCUACAAAUCCUAAGUUUGAUGUUGACUCUACCACCUCCAAAACCCUUGAUAAAAGAUUGAUCAAGUAACCAACAAUGCCGCUUCAAUUCACCUUUUCUUGUUACUUCCUUGCAAGGCACUCCUUGUCCUAAGGCUUUCACCCGUUUGAAUUAAUCCCAAGCGCACAUUUGUUGAAACCCAAGAUUUUCCAACACGAUCUACCGUCUCAUGCCACUCCCUUGCAAGGUACCCAUUGUCCCAAGGAUUUCACUUGAUCGGAUCCGAAUUGCAUAAUCUUGUCAAAAACCUUCAAACCAUAAGAGAUCUUGAUGGAAAACCCUAACUCGGUUUUCUGAUACGAAUCCCUCAAAGUUCUCAACCCAAUAUUCUAGGUACAAUAAACCUAAUUGGACGUUAUCAACGCUAAUCUACAUGACACCCAAUCAAAAAAUGAUUAUGUGUAGUGUGAUUGUGUGUAUGCAUAGAUGGAGUUGAAGAUGAUGACAAUGCUUUGAAAUCUUGGAUUCAUGUUGGUUUUACUCACUCUAGAAACCUUACUAGAGAAAGAUGCAUGUAUGUAGUAUUUAUAUGCAUGAGUGAUUGAAGGAAAAAAGGAAUGCAAAGAACUUGGAGAAAAUAUAAAUUUUUGAAAAACAUUCAUCGCAUAGGUCGACCUAUGAAAGUUAUGUGUCGACCUAUUCGAUGCAUAAGUCGACGUGUUUAAGGUCAUGUGUCGACCUAUGACUAUCAUAAGUACCAUAGGUCGACACAUGAAAUAUAGGCUAUAUGCUUUAAUACUGCAACACAGGUAUCGACCUAUGGAAUGCAUGUGUCGACCUAUAGUCAAGAAAAUUUAUCUAUAGGUCGACCUAUAGUUGUAUGUGUCAACCUGUAGGUCGACCCGUAGACGUAUGUGUCGACCUGUGCUGACAUUUUUCAUAAAAAUUAAAAUUUUAUGCAUGAGAUCUUUUCCAAGUUGUUUCCAACUUCUUAUAUGCUUCCCAAUGCUAUGGUGCACAAAAAUAAUAAGAGGAUACCUUCCAAUAUAAAUUAACGCUAAAGUAUCCUAGUUUUGACAUCAUAUAAAACACAUCUAACAGAAGUUGCACUCACACUAUAGGGAUUUAGGGUUAGGAUUAGUAGUUGAGUUUGGUCAACUGGUUGACCAAAAAGUCAAUAGUUGACCAAAGUCAACUGUAGGUCGAACUUAGGUAUUUUUUGUGUAAUUUUAUAUAGACUUGAAAUGGAUGUUUGAAAUGUAAACUUGAUGAUUUAUAAUGAAAACAUUGAUCUUACAUGGUAUAUGUAACUUGUUACUUGAGAAAGCAACCUUUUCCUCCCAUUUUGAAUCUUGAAUGAAUUUGAACUAUUGAAUAAAGAUGAACUUGAAUGAAGCUUGAUCUUGUAUGAAUGCCAUGUCAUGAACCAAACAAUAAACAUUAGUAAGGAAGACAAGACAUGUGGAAGACAAGACAUGCGCAAAUGCCACGGUAUGCAAAGUUCAUGAAGGAUAUUCUCACAAAGAAAAGGAGACAUGUGGAAGACAAGACAAUCUUGCUUGAUGCAUGUUGUAGUGCCAUAAUCCAAAAAACUCUCCCAAGGAAGGAAUCCGAUCCGGGCCGAGUCGUUUUACUGGUAACCAUUGGAGGCACCUACAUUGGUAAUGGUUUGAUUGACUUGGGAUCUAGCAUCAAUUUAAUCCCCCUAUCCAUUAUUAAAAGAUUGGGAAAUAUCGAGAUUAAAUCUACAAGGAUGACUUUACAACUAGCCGAUAAGUCUACCACUUCACCAUAUGGAGUUGCUCAAGAUAUGCUAGUGAAGGUGGACAAAUUCUUGUUUCCGGUAGAUUUCGUGAUAGUGGAGAUGGAUGAGGAUCGUGAUGUUCUCUAAAUUCUUGGAAGACCAUUCAUGAAAACAGCCCGGAUGAUGAUUGACAUUGAUGAUGGACUGAUGAAAGUGAGAGUGCAAGAUGAAGAGGUGACCUUCAAUCUUUUUGAAGCCAUGAAGCAUCCUAAUGACAAUCAUGAUUCUUUCCGAAUCGAUGCAACCGAAGAGGAAAUAGUGGAGGUCGCAAACCAAGUUCAUGUUUCUAAUCCAUUAGAAAGAUCUCUUAUCGGAGCCUACAAUGUUUUGACCGAAAAUAAAGAAAAAGAGAUUGAAGCAAUGUUGCAUGAAUUAGAGUCUUGUGGAGAGCUUGUUUAUCAUGAAGAAACAAAUGAAGACUUGGAUGUGACAAAGAAAAUGGAAGAACCAAAACUAGAGUUGAAAAUGCUACCUUCACUCUUGAAGUAUGUGUUCCUUGGUGAUGAUUGUACUAAACCGGUGAUCAUUAGCAACACCUUGUCCACAAAAGAGGAACACAAAUUGAUACAAGUGCUGAAAAAGAAUGAGGGUGCAAUAGGGUGGGUCCGACUUGAAGGUAUUAGUCCGGCCUAUUGUAUGCAUAAGAUCAUGAUGGAAGAAAAUUUCAAACCCGUUGCACAACCUUAAAGGCGUCUAAAUCCAUCAAUGAAAGAAGUAGUUCGGAAAGAAGUUGUCAAACUCUUGGAAGCCGAAAUGAUUUAUCCUAUCUCCGUGAAUGGGUGAGUCCGGUGCAAGUAGUUCCAAAAAAAGGUGGCAUGACGGUUAUCAAAAAUGAUAAAAAUGAGUUGAUUCCAACAAGAACGGUAACCGGGUGGAGGAUGUGUAUUGACUAUAGAAGACUAAACCAAGCUACAAGAAAAGAUCACUUCCCACUACCUUUCAUGGACCAAAUGUUGGAAAGGUUGGCCGGCAAAAAUUUCUAUUGUUUCUUGGAUGGUUAUUCGGGGUACAACCAAAUUUCAGUCAAUCCGGCGGAUCAUGAGAAGACGGCUUUUACAUGUCCUUUCGGCAUCUUUGCUUACCGAAGAAUGCCUUUUGGGUUAUGUAAUGCACCAGCAACAUUUCAACGCUGUAUGCAAGUGAUAUUCUCGGAUUUAAUCGAAGAAUGCAUUAGGUGUUCAUGGAUGAUUUCUCCGUUUAUGGAUCGUCUUUUGAUUUGUGCUUGAAACAUCUUGAUGUGGUUUUGGGAAGAUGUGUGAAGACCAACUUAGUGCUUAAUUGGGAGAAAUGCAACUUUAUGGUCACCGAAGGUGUUGUACUCGGUCACAAGAUCUCCUCCGAAGGGCUAGAAGUUGACAAAGCAAAGGUGGAAGUCAUUGAUUUAUGUCUGAAUCCUUCAAAGUGCACUUCUUGUGUCAGAUCCAACAAGUUGUUGGGGUUCAUAGUCAUUCAAAUAGGAAUUGAAUUCGAUCUGGAUAAAGUGAAUUCCAUACAAGACAUGCCAACUCCAAGAACUAAAAAAGAGGUUUGUGGGUUCUUGGGAAGAUUGAACUACAUCGCUAGAUUCAUCUCGCAUCUUACAUCCACCUACGAACCAGUUUUCAAAUUAUUGAGGAAAAAACAAACCAUUGAUAGGAAUGAGGAUUGUCAAGGGUUAUUUGAUAAAAUUAAAGAGUACUUACAAGAGCAACAAAUCUUGAUAUCCCAUGUUCGAGAGAGACCUCUUAUUAUGUACUUAGAAAUUCUUAAUGGAUCGAUGGGCUGUGAAUUGGUGCAACAAGAUGAAACCGACAGAAAGGAGCAUGUAAUCUACUAUUUAAGCAAGAAGUUCACAUAUUUGUGAAUACAAAUACUCAUUACUUGAGAAGACUUAUUGCACACUAGCAUGGGCUGCUUGGCACUUAAGGCAAUACAUGUUGACCCACACAAUAUAUUUAAUAUCAAAUAUGUUACUUAGAAGAUAAUAAAAGGAAGUGUGUUGUCAAAAUAUCUUGCAAACCAACUAAUGGAAUAUUAUUAUCCCAUGAGGUUUGAGUUUCCUGAUGAAUGUAUUAUGGUUCUGAAUGAAGAAAAUGUCAUAGGUAAUGAUGUAGGGCCCAAACCAGGAGCUAGAUGGAAGCUCGCGUUUGAUGGUGGCUCGAAUGCCAUGGGGCAUGGAAUUGGAUAUGUCUUAAUCUCUCUAAGGAAUGACUAUACUCCCUUCACAAAAAGGUUAUCUUUUGACUGUACAAAUAGUAAGGCAUAAUACGAAGCAUGUAUCAUGGGCAUUGAACCUGCUAUAGACCUAAGGAUCAAAAUCCUAGAGGUGCAUGUAGACUAUGUGUUAGUCAUAUAUCAAGUAAAAGGAGAAUGGGAAACUCGUCAUCCUAAACUGAUAUCAUACCAAGCUCGAGUCUUUUAACUGAUGGAGAAUUUUAAGGAAAUCACUUUCCAUCACAUUCCAAGAGAAGAAAAUCAGAUGGCAGACGCUUUGGCUACAUUAUCAUCAAUGUACAAAGUAAACUUCCACAAUGAAGGCCCAAUUAUAAGAAUGGGUCAUAGAGAUGAACCGACAUGUUGCUCAACACUUGAAGAAGAGUUUGAUGACAAGCCAUGGUUUCAUGAAAACAAGUGUUACCUUCAGAAACAAGAGUACCUUACAAAUUCUUUGAGUGGGGACAAGAAAACUCUCAGAAGGUUAAUAGCUAAUUUCUUCCUAAAUGAUGAUGUGCUCUACAAAAGAAACCAUGACAUGGUCCUACUCAGAUGCAUGGAUAGACACGAAGCACACAUGUUCGUCAAGUAAAUUCAUGGCAGACUUCUGAUGAUUUUCUUUACAUGAUUUGUCGUGGUAUAACCUUUGUUCAGAACUUUAAUCCAACUCCAUAUUUCUAGAUUAAAGUUAGGGCUUUAGUCUCUUUAACUUGCUCAUUUCCUUCAUGAGUCAUUUUCAAAGAAUCAAAUAUAGACUUAGUAAAGUCUCUAAUUAUUAUGUUUUCAUACUUAGAUUAGGAAAUAGAAUUCAACAAUAUAGUUUUGGAUCUAUGAUGAUUAUUGUAAUCCUUCUUUUGUUUACAAUCUAUUUUGCUUCUUUUAAGCUUACUGCCAUCAGCAUCUAUAGGAUGUGUCUAACCUUCUAUCACCAUAUCCCAUAGUUCAACAUCACAACCUAUGAAGAAACUUUCGAUUCUAUCUUUCCAAUAGUUGAACUUUUCUCCAUCAAAGAAUGAAGGUUUUGUAGAAUAAUGAUAUUUAUCAUUAUUUGCUUAUGCCAUAAUGUAUUUAAAAAAGAAUGGAUCUAUGUCUGAAAUGAUUAAGUGUUUAACACAAAGUAUGGGGUUUGAAUUAGGUUUCUCUAUUUAAAAACUUUUUCCACCCAAUAUAUUAAAACAACAAAGAUAAUAAUAAAGGUAAGAACAUAAGUAUUUUACCAUGGUUCACUGUUAAUGAAGCUCCGUCUAGCCCACUCUCCUGAGUGAUUUCUUCUUCUCAACAAGGACUUAAUCCAAUAAUCAAACUGAUUACAACAAACUCAAAGACGCACAGUCUAAGACUUCUUGAGAAAUUCUGACUAUACCAUAGUCUUUUAAGGAAAACAACUCAAAGACUAACUGUCAAUGACUUCUUGAGAAUUCUGAUCUAACUUAGUCUCUCAAGGAAAUUAACUAAAGGUUAAGAUAAUGGGUUUUAUGUCACAUGUUUCUUCAACACAACAGAUACACAAGUUUAAAUCAAAUGUUACACUUAACACAAGUUUAAAUCAAAUGUAACACUUAUUUUUAUAUUUUCUCUUUCACGUAUUCUAUUUGAGUGUAAGCAUUGAUAUUUGUUAAAUGCUUCUUUUUUCCAAUCUUCAAAGACCUCUUUAUAUAGUAGCAAAUAAUUCCGUUGGAGGGUGAAGUUGGAUUAUCCUCAAAAUAGACGUUAUAUAAAGGUCACUUCAUAUGCAACAUUAAAGUGGAGCUUGCAGUAAAUUGUUGGUGAGGAUGAUGGGACAUGAGAAGAUUCUUUGGUACAAAGUACAAUACUUUACAUAAAAAAUAGAUUUAGUUUUUGUACUUCUGUCACAUCAAUCAGUCGUUGACCUUUUAUCACACCCCAAUUUUGACUAUGAAUCAUUGAAUCAAUGCAUUCAUCAUAAUAUUUACAUCACCUUCAUAGCAUAUCAUGCAUUUCAUCUUGCAUAAUGCCUAAAAUAUCGAUUAGAAUAAAUUUUCGGGUCUACAAACAUAACAGUUGAAUCAAUUUUCAAAUUUACGUAAAGUUAGCGGGUGGAAAAUUUUGAAAUCGAGCUUGUAGCCGUCAGUGUUAGUAAGUUAUGAUUCACAUAGUUUAACCUGUCAUGAUCGUUUUAUUUUUUCAACUCCUUUUGCGAUCGCAUUUUGAUCAGUUUGAGCCUUUUCAACUGGACAUUUUUUACUUUAAAAUUUGACAAAAAAUUAUCUGUUAUCUAAAAGUUUAUUUCGCGCUGAUCAUUUUGUAAGAACAAGAUUUGGUUUUGCAUCUGGCCUUUCGUUUUGAUGAUAACAAUGCAUUAUUUCUAAGAGAACAACUUUAUACCCUAAUGGUUUUUGCCUAGUGUGUAACUUUUUCUAAUAGGUUCUGACUAUGGAGAAUUGACAUGUGAUGUCAUCUGAUUCUGGAUUCAACAUAUUUUGACUCUGAAGAGAUUCAAAGUACUUUACAAGAUGCUGUUAAGUUGUAGAAUGCUGUUAGACAACGGUUAUGAUGAACGUUUGUGUUAAAGCUUCUGAUCGUGACUCUGAUUGAAGAGCCUAUGAAGAUUUAUCAAGCCUUAAAUAUUAUGCGUUCUCAAGUUCUAAAGACUCUGAAGAACAAGAUCUGAAGACUCUGAAGACCAGGUUCUGAGGAACUAUGUCAAGUGUCUGAAGACCAAUGUUCUGAAGAUUCUCUCAACUAGUAUCUUGAUCCUUCUAAGAAUGAUUUAACAUCAUUUAUUCAGAAGCCUCUGAAGAUGAGAAGAUAAGAUAAAAAGGUUUUGCGUCAGGAAAAUAGUAUAUAAUACAAAAUCACCCUUCCCUCCACUACGCUGAUUUUAUGGGCUAAGCACAUUACUAUUGUACCAUUUUGUCUCCUAUAUGCAAACCGUUAUACCAAGAGACAACUGUAGUUUUGUUAUUCCAAUUCUACUCUCUAACAGAUCUUUUAACGUCCUAUAUAAAAAAUACUUGGAAGAUUAGAUAAGUUGUGAAUUCUCAUUGCCAUUUCACGCUCAUACACAAAGCUUUUGUUAAAGUACAUAUUUUAUGUGUAUAGUCUUUGUAAACACACAUAGAGGUUUUGUUCGUUAUUGUGUGAGAAAUUCAUUGUACUUAAAAUAUGUUAAUCUUAUUUCUUAUAAGAAAUUUUGUAAACAUAGUCUUGUAAAUCUCAAAUUGUUUGAGUGUAUUCCUCGAGUUACUAGGUUUUAGUCAUAUAGACUCAAGAAGACAGAAGACAAAAGAGUUUGUCUUUAUGGUGUCUGUAAUUAGUUUUGGUUACAGUGGAUUAAGUCCUUAUUGAGAAGGAAAAAUCACCUUGGUAGGUGGAGUGAAGGUAACUCUUGAUCCUUCUAAGCAUGAUUCAACAUCAUUUAUUCAGAAGCCUAUUUAGAUUAGAAGAUAACAUCAAAAGGUUUUGCAUUAGGAAAAUAGUACACAGUACAAGAUCACCCUUCUUGUUAGGUCUGACAUAUGGUGAUUGGCUUAAUUUUGGAAAAACAAGUAUUUUUGACAUAUGUUAAACAAGAUGUCCUGACAUGUUGUUUCAACAUUACAGCGUGACUGAGCUUAAGCAUCUUGUGAGAUUUAGUCUCUUUAAUAUUUUAUCUGAAGAUUAUUUGAAUAUUUAAUUCAUGUAUAUUAUUGAGCGUUUUCCUGGUACCUGAAUAAUAUUGUGUCUUGACUUAUAUACGAAGUAACGAUGUCAAGACAUUUUAGGAAACAUAUGAUUUGAUUGAGAUCAUAUUUUCAAAAGAUUGUGCAGAGAUCUUGGAUCUACUACAAAUCAAGGCUGAAGCCCAUGCCUCUUCACUGCUAUUUAUAGAGUAGUUCUAAACGUAAGAAUGCAUUGAUGCAGUGCAGUAUAUUGUUAUCAUUAAUGUUUUAUGUGUAUGCUUUGUAUGAGACAUUUGAGUAUCUCCUCGAUACUUGAAUUGGACCUGGUGUAUUGAGUUAUAACUAACAAUCCCUCAGAAGAUUUUAAGCAAGAGUGGAUUGUGUUUGUCAGUUAUUUGUUGUCGUAUGGUUAAGGAAAGUGAGACAUGUCUCAUAUCUAGGAGUGUCUUAGAUAGAAACAUACACGGGUAGAGAUUAGGUGAGAAGUCUUUAAAACCUGAGGUUGUUCAAGACUUCAAACUAAUUCUAUGAUAGUGGAGUUCCUUCCUGGCUUGGUAGCCCCCAGAUGUAGGUGAUGUUACACCGAACUGAGUUAACAAUUGAUUGUGUUAUUUACUGUUAUUUUAAUCCUGGUAUUGUUUGUGGUGCGAUAAUGUGCAGACCCUAAGGUCGUGACAUCGUGUACGACAUCAGGGAUCUACUUUCCAGAAUUUCAAUUGGUAUCAGAGCAUGCAUCAUGCUCUAUUUAUGGGUGAGAUUCAGGGAAGAUACUUUCUGGCUCCAUGGAUAAGGAAGGAGGAUUUAUCAACAGACCCCCCUUCUUAGAUGGAUCUAACUAUGACUAUUGGAAGGCAGGGAUGGUUGAUUUCUUAAAAUCCAUGAAAAAAAAGACAUGGAAAGUUGUCAUUAGAGGAUGGGAACAUCUUGUUCUGAAUGACAAAGAUGGGAAGGCUCGUACUGAAUUGAAACCUGAAGAGGACUGGCCUAACGAAAACAAUGAAUUGGCUCUUGGAAAUUCCAAAGCGUUGAAUCCCCUAUUCAAUGGGGUGGACAAAAAUAUAUUCAGGCUGAUAAAUACCUGUAUUAUAGCUAAAGAAGCUUGGGAAAUCCUCAUAACUACUCAUGAAGGCACAUCCAAAGUGAAGAUGUCUAGACUUCAGCUUCUCACCACGGGAUUUGAGAAUCUAAAGAUGACAGAUGAUGAGAACAUUCAUGAUUUUUACAUGAGUAUUCUUGAAAUAGCUAAUUCAUCUAGUGCCUUGGGAGGAAAGAUGUCAGAAGAAAAAUUGGUGAGAAAAAUUCUAAGGCCUCUACCAUUUUUUUGACAUGAAGGUCAUAACCAUUGAAGAAGCUCAAGACAUCAACACCAUGAGAGUAUAUGAACUUAUUGGGUGUCUCUAAACCUUUGAAUUGGAUAUUAAUGACAUAUCUAAAAAGAAAACCAAGAGCAUAUCAUUUGUAUCCAACACUGAAGAUGAACUAAACCAAUGUGACUUAGAUACUGAUGAAGGAAUGACCAAUUCUAUAUUAAUGACUUAGAUAAUUCAAUAAGGUUCUAAGGAGAAUUGGCAGGAAGUCAAGACCAAAUGUCAAGAACAUCCCUUUUUAAAUCAGGAAUACUAAUGAUUUCUAGAAAAGAACAAGAACCGAAGAGAGAUCCAAUCAAGGUAAGUGGGUGUGAAGGAUUUGGACACAUUAGAGUUGAAUGCCCUACCUAUCUCAAGAAACAAAAAAAGGGGUUAUCGGUCUCUUGGUCUGAUGAGGAUAACUCUGAAAGUAAACCUGAGGAUGAAGCUGAUAAACAUGUUACUGCUCUAACUGGAAGAUAUGAAUAUGAUGAAGAUUCAUGUGAUGAAGAAUUAUCCUAUGAGGAACUGGCUGCAUCCUACAGAGAACUUUGCAUCAGAAGUGAAGAAGUGUGUCGGCUGGGAUAAAAACAGAAGAAAAUUAUAUCUCAACUACAGGCUGAAAAGGAAGGAUUUCAAUUCACCAUCUCAGAUCUCCAAAAUGAGGUGACAUUAUUGACUUCCAAACUUGAAAACAUGAUAAAUAAUAUAAGAGUUCUGAACAAGGGAUCUAAUGUGUUAUAUGAAGUUUUGAAAAUUGGAAAAGCGGAUGGAGAUCUGAGGGGGAUCGGCUUUAAACAUAAAUCUAUGGAUAAACAAGGAGAAAGCUCUAUGACCAACUUUGUUCUUACAAAGAGGGAGUCUAAUCUUGUAAUAUCUAAACAUCUGGCUCAACAUCAUGCCAGUCAUCAAAACUCUUAAACUAAAGGCAAGUUAUUAUGUUGGAGAUGUCAUUAAUAUGGAAAACAUGGUCAUAUAAAUCCCUUCUGCUUCAAAUUGUAUGGCUAUCCUAGGUAUCCAACACAACUCAGGGCUAAUAAAAAGAAAGAGUGGACACCUAAGCCUUUCAACACUAGUCUCAUAGCUCACACCUCUCUUAGAGCCUUAGCUCGAGAAGACUGGUAUUUUGAUAGUGGAUGUUGCAGACACGUGACAUGUGGCAAGAAGUUCCUUUAAAAGAUAAAGUCAUACUCAUCUGGCUAUGUCACGUUUGGAGAUGGGGCUAAAGGUGAAAUUAAAGGGGUUGGAAGACUAGCUUGUACAUGACUCCCAAGUCUUAAUAAUGUCCUAUUGGUAAAAGAUCUGACUGUUAAUUUGAUUAGUAUCAGUCAACUAUGUGAUGAGGGUCUUAAAGUUAACUUCACAAAAUCAGAGUGUUAGUCACUAAUGAGAAAAAUGAAGUUCUAAUGAGGAGAGUCAGGUCUAAGGAUAACUAUUACUUGUGGUUAUCUAAAGAAACUAACUACACUUCCACAUACCUGAUAUCCAAAGAAGACAAAGUUAACCUAUGGCACCAGAAACUUGGACAUCUACAUUUGAAAGGCAUGAAAAAGAUUAUGUUAAAAGAAGCCAUCAUAGGUAUUCUAAGGCUCAAGAUUGAAGAAGGUAAAAUAUGUGAUGAGUGUCUAAUUGGGAAGCAACUAAGAUGUCACAUCCAAAGUUAUAACAUCAAACUACUUCAAAAGUUCUGGAACUUCUUCAUAUGGACUUAAUGGGGCCUAUGCAGGUUGAGAGCCUUGGAGGGAAAAGAUACACAUAUGUUGUUGUUGAUGAUUUUUCAAGAUUCACUUGGGUGAACUUCAUCAAAGAAAAAUCAGAUGUCUUUGAGGUGUUCAAAGAUCUAUGCAAAAGGAUUCAAAGAGAGAAGGAAAGUAGAAUUUCCAGGAUUCGAAGUGACCAUGGGAAGGAAUUUGAAAAUAAUAGAUUUGUUGAAUUUUGCUCCUCUGAAGGUAUUGGUCAUGAUUUCUCCUCUCCUAUCACCCCUUAGCAAAACGAUGUUGUUGAAUGCAAGAACUGAACUCUACAAGUGUCAAUAUGCAAAAAAUACAGAGUUGGUUUUUAUUUAUUCCAAAGGAAAGGGAAAUUAUCUAGAAAACCCCAAAGAAUGGUCAUCACAACCACGAACAAGUUUGGAAGCUGGUUAUGCAAGGGGAAGAUAUUAGCAGCCCUCACAUCCAUGGUACUCCAUGGGAACCAUCUAGGAUAUCUACAUUUGAAAGGGUGUCAGUAUCUUAAUGCUUACUUGCUAAAGGUUUACGGAGUGGAAAUGGACUUUUUAUUAGUGUGCUAGCCAAGGAUUUGGGUCCUCGUGCCUACGUAUGCUCACUUGUCAAAGUGAGAAAUUAGAGCCCCAUAGUUCGUGGUACAAAAUGUUUGUUUGUUUUGUUGAUUUUAUACCUUUAAAAAGGUUUUCGAAGUGAUGCCCUAAGGCUUAAACAAAAGGUUUGAUAAGUUGACAUUGAUUUUAUGUUUUGAAAAGAGAGUGUUCUUGACUUCGGAUUGCACUAAAGACUAUGGGUAAAGGUGAAUAUCUCGAACUACCAAGUCAAAUGUCUUGUGUUCAAAAUACUCAGAACAAGUGUAGGAAAGCUCCAUUCUCAUCCUUUCUCUACCACUUAAGGCUCAUGGCAUACAAUCAUAAUCGUAUUUUUAUGGUGUUUUGAAUUUGAUUUGAGAAAAUACCGCUUAACGUUGGAUCAAGGGUUUGUUAUUGAGUAUGAAAUAGUGAAGAUCCUAUGUCCUAAGGUUGGCUAACAAGUAAAAACAAGACAAAGGAAAACGAGUAAAAAGUACACCAAAAUGGGGAGAGGGAUACAUGGAAAAUACAAGGGAUUUGUGCGAGAAAUAAAUGGUCUCGCUGUAAGGUAGCUCAAGAGAAAGUCUUGUGUGUGCAUUGUGUCCUAAGCUAACAAUUGGAUAAUUGAAUUACAAAGCAUGUCUCCCUAUGGUAGUGCCAUGAAUGAACCAUUCUUGCAAUAAAAGAUUACAAGUCCUCGGAAACUCCAAGUUGCAUAGGUCAAUCAAAAAAGUCCAAGUCCAAAUGCAAGGGUACUAACAAGUCCUCUAAGUCUCCAAGUUUAGUUUAUACACAAGGUACAUAUGGCCCAUAAUACUCCAUGUCUAAUGCUAAGGUCAAACAUUAAGUCCGUAGUCCAAUUGUCCUCAAAUUAGAUCUCUUUAGUAUUUUCCAUUUUAUCAUGUUUUUGUUCAUUUUAGAUUGUAUAUCAAAAUAAAGCAAUAAUGAUGAAGAAUGGUAAUGAUGAAUGAAAAUUAUGAUAUACAAAGUAAAGAAAUAAAUUGCACGAGUUAAAAUAUUAGAAGUUAGGUGCGUAAUGUAAAUGUUAGAAAUUAGAAGUUAGAUGUUUGAAGUCAAUUUAAAAAGGAACCGAUUACUUGAGAUUAUUUAUCCAUAAAUCAAAUGACUCAAAAUAUGACGUAUCAAGGGACAAUCUAUAAAUGAUUCAAAGUAUCGAAAAUGAUCCAAUGAUCAUUUGUCAAUAAGUUUGAAUCAAAGAAGAUUGAAUCAACCAAACUGUCUAUUUAUCAAUGAUUUGAAGUAUGAAAUAUGUAUCAAUAAAGCAAUCAAAACAAAGUGAAAAGAAGAGAAAGUUAAUGGUUAAAUGGUUAGAGAUGAAGAUUCAUCAAGCUUGCAAAUAUAAAUGAGUCUACAAAACAAACCACAAAACACUUGUUCAUAACAAAAAUGCAAAAAUAAAAUGAUAUUAACUCAUGUAAUAUGAAGCAAAUAUUAAGAACACAUGACAAAAUAAACAUGUGGGCCAGGGCCCAAUCAAUCUCACCAAAGGAGAUCCAAACACAAUUAUCACAUUCUAGACCAGAUCCCCCAACUUCAAACAUUCCUUAUAUUCCCUGAGUACGGAGAACAAGCCUCCGUUGCGUCGAAGCUCAUUGCCACCGGCGCCGGAGCUCCAAACAUGAACCCACAAGUAUCAAAAUGAUUGUUUCUACCCCGUGAAUCCAAAUCCCUUAUCCAAAUAGAACAAUCUUAAACCUACUGAUAAAAUCGCAUCCAAAUAAGAAAGAACCCUAAGUUGAAUUCCAGAAAUUAAAUGUUCAGUGAUGAAGAUCAAAGGCUACCAGGUUAGGGAUUUGAUCUCCCAAAACUAAUACUACACCAUGGUAACUAAAUCGGAGCAGAACCAAAAGGUUGAACCAAAUGCCCGUCAGAGACGACGACUGAGACGAUAACAACAAUAACCUCAAGUGCGCUUCUUCUUCACUUUAGUAUGCUUCUCUUCUUCCUUCCACUUCUUUGUUCCUUCACUUCUUCUCUUUAUUCUUGCUUGGACUUAGGAUAGAGAGAAUGAAUUUCAUGAGUGUGAGCAAAGUGUGCUAGAGUGUGUCAGAGAGCAAUCCUUCCUCUCCAAUGAUUGGCAACGAUUGCCUCAUUUAUAGGGCAAUCCAAGGGGGUAGUUUAGGGAAUUGAAUUUGAGUUGUUAAAUCCUGAUUUAUCCAACUGUCAAUUAAGUGAAUUUCUGGAAAUGGAAUGGAAUUAGGUCACGUGGCAUUUAGAUGAGCACAUGUUUUAUUCCCUUCAAUUCAUUUGCAGCUUCCCCCUUUUAUAUCUAAAUCCCCUCUUCCUAUCUGCCUUGACAUGGUUCAUCUGAUACCUUGCUAUAGCUUGCACAUGGGACUCAUGCUCUGCUCAUGGUUGAAUGAUGCAUCCAGUUCAUAUGGUGGGCCAGAUGCAAGGUUAUGCAUAAGUUUACAAGUAGGUAUGAAUUAUGUCUCAACUUGGGCUCACCAUUGUUUUGGUUUAGGUUGUGUCUUAUGGAGGGUUCUUAACUACUAAUCUGAAACUUGUUCUUCUUGUUGGGAACUCUGCAAAUAGUCAUGGGAUGGUUCUAGUGUAAGCAACAACCACAUGAUUCAAUUAGCAUGGUUCUAACUUAGGUUGACUUGCUUAUGCCUGAUGGUUUCUUGUGGAAUGAUAUUAUAAUAGGCAUGAGUAUGAACCUAUAACAACAUUUGGUUAGGUUAUUCUGACUUGUGCUUCAAUAGGUUUGGCAACAUGAUGCAUUGCCUCUUGAUGUAGCCUACUUGUCAAUAAACUUGUUUGUUGAUGCAAGAUAUUGUUUGGAUUGAGUUGCAUGAUUGGCUGCUAGUUCCUACAGGUAGCUUGGUAUGGGACUUGUUGAUUGUUUGUAGUGAUAGACUCGUGUGCUAUGCAAGGUUAUGCUCCAGCUUUCCAUUCUGAUCCUAGUUGCAGGGGAAUGUGGACUUGUGUAGUGUUUAUGUUGGCUUGUAUCUCAUGUCUUCUAUUGGCUUUGAUAUGCAUCUCUUGUUUCCUGUACUCAGACUUAUGUAGUAGGUCUGCACUGUACCUUAAAUCUUGGUUCUGCAUCAUCUUCCUACAAUAAAUGUGUUGAUCUAUGCUUGGUGUUCAUGCAAUUGAUUCAGGAUGCUCAUGAUGAUGGUUAAAUGGUCAAAUGUAGCUUGAGGAAGAUGGAAUUGUAAGUUUGCAGCAUAUGUGCACAUGGCCUUUGGUAAGAUGUCAAGAAUAUGAGGUUGUGCUCUUGUUAUCCUUAUACUCAUUGCCUUUAUUGCUGUUAUAUUUUGUGGGAUGGAUGAGGUCUUGUCUUAAAUUGUUGUUUGUUAGGUAUUGAAUUAUGGUAUGCAUUGCCAGUUUAAAUUGCAAGUCUUGUAUUGGCAUGAUAUCUAUAGAUGAUGAUAUGGUUAGAUGGUCCAAUGCAGGUAUGUAGUCAUUGCCAGUCUGCAACAUGAUUGCAACUUCAUGUUCAUGGUCAUUACAGGUUGAAUUUGCUACAAGUUUGCAAGGUUCAAAGCAUGCUUCCAAUGUUCAAUUGAUAUUCAGCUUGGUGCAGCCAUUGGAUUUGCCUUGGUCUAUGUUGGUUCUGCAUGAUAUCAUGUAUGGCAUGUCCUGCACCGUAACAUUGUCCUUAUUUGUUCAUGGUUUGUCUUCUGGUUGAUUGCUUUUGAACUGACUUGGCAUUCCAGGAUUUGUGGCAUGUGUGGACUUGGUUUCAUGUGACUUUGCAGGUUAAUAUUGUGUUGCUGGUACUUCUAAAUGUCAAAAUUUGGAUGGUCAUCGUGCAUAAGGUGAUUACUUCAAGACCAAGGAUCACAGUUGAAGAUUAGGAGGAGGAUUAUAAUUGAUAUUGAAAUUUUUAGGGUUUUAGGGCUUGGGUUGACUUUGGUCAAACUUCCAUUUUUUUGUAAUUUUCUUAAUGUUUGGGCAUUUGUAAUGGAUUAUGAUGAUGAUAUUGAAUUAAUGACUUGUAUGAUUUUGAUUGAAUUGAAUUUGAAAUGAAUGAACUUGAUGAUUAUGACCAUGCCUUGAAUUGAAAUGUAUGAUAAUUUUGAAUAUACACAUUGAAUAUCAUACAAACUUGAAUUUUGAAAUGAAUGGAUUUGAUAUGAGCUAAAUGAUGAAUUAAUGCACUGAUGAACUUGAUGAAUCAAAGAUAUGACUUACAACUUGGAUAACAUCAAGACUUGAAAUGGAUUGACGCUUGAAUGAAUCAUUAACAUGACUUAAAGGACAUAACCAUAAUUUGAAUGACCAGUGACAAGCAUGAAACAAAGAUCUUGGCAAGGACCAAU
Molecule: long non-coding RNA, 18047 nt
Filed under: Lathyrus oleraceus (garden pea)
Lineage: Eukaryota; Viridiplantae; Streptophyta; Magnoliopsida; Fabales; Fabaceae
Description: Pisum sativum (pea) long non-coding RNA (PSAT_LNC022514)
Source: RNAcentral